GGGUUGUGAGGUUAAGCGACUAAGCGUACACGGUGGAUGCCCUGGCAGUCAGAGGCGAUGAAGGGCGUGCUAAUCUGCGAUAAGCGCCGGUAAGGUGAUAUGAACCGUUAUAACCGGCGAUACCCGAAUGGGGAAACCCAGUGUGACUCGUCACACUAUCAUUAACUGAAUCCAUAGGUUAAUGAGGCGAACCGGGGGAACUGAAACAUCUAAGUACCCCGAGGAAAAGAAAUCAACCGAGAUUCCCCCAGUAGCGGCGAGCGAACGGGGAGGAGCCCAGAGCCUGAAUCAGCAUGUGUGUUAGUGGAAGCGUCUGGAAAGGCGCGCGAUACAGGGUGACAGCCCCGUACACAAAAGCGCAUGUGCUGUGAGCUCGAUGAGUAGGGCGGGACACGUGGUAUCCUGUCUGAAUAUGGGGGGACCAUCCUCCAAGGCUAAAUACUCCUGACUGACCGAUAGUGAACCAGUACCGUGAGGGAAAGGCGAAAAGAACCCCGGCGAGGGGAGUGAAAAAGAACCUGAAACCGUGUACGUACAAGCAGUGGGAGCCCCACCACCAAAGCAUUCUCUGGUGUUGAAGGCCCUGCAAAGCAGCAUCGCGGUGGCGGAGCGUCGUUUGCGACGCCCAACACACAAAACAAACGGUGAAUGCUUUG
RNAcentral lists this ribosomal RNA (656 nucleotides) under Salmonella enterica subsp. enterica serovar Typhimurium. Its description in RNAcentral is "partial 23S ribosomal RNA". It matches the Rfam family "Bacterial large subunit ribosomal RNA", at positions 1 to 590 of the family's 2925-position model. Lineage: Bacteria; Pseudomonadati; Pseudomonadota; Gammaproteobacteria; Enterobacterales; Enterobacteriaceae. The record is from RNAcentral.